GCUUCAUGAUUUCUUUCCUAACGUCUUCUGAUUCGACUUUGAGACAACCCAGCACUCUGGAAUCUUUGCUGCAACUUCUCCAAUGGACAGAUGUUCCUUUCCAUCCUCUUAACAAGGUUUCUACCCAAACAUAUCGGAAUAAGUGGUUGCAGGCAAGCAAAGCAUAUGAUGGUGCCCCUGUGGUUUUCAGAUGGCUCAGCAGAUGUAUUUGGUUCAAGAUUGGAGGGGGAGUGGCAGACAUACAGUUUGGCCAGUGAGGUGAGUGGCUGUAGCAGACUGCAUGAUGGGCCUCCAUUUUCAAGAGGAGACACAUUCUCAUUGAUACAU
RNAcentral lists this long non-coding RNA (327 nucleotides) under Monodelphis domestica (gray short-tailed opossum). Its description in RNAcentral is "lncRNA (ENSMODG00000042789.1)". Lineage: Eukaryota; Metazoa; Chordata; Mammalia; Didelphimorphia; Didelphidae. The record is from RNAcentral.